This 253-nucleotide ribosomal RNA is filed under the name uncultured bacterium. Its description in RNAcentral is "partial 16S ribosomal RNA". It matches the Rfam family "Bacterial small subunit ribosomal RNA", at positions 524 to 776 of the family's 1533-position model. The record is from RNAcentral.
UACGUAGGGUGCAAGCGUUAAUCGGAAUUACUGGGCGUAAAGCGUGCGCAGGCGGUUAUGUAAGUCAGAUGUGAAAUCCCCGGGCUUAACCUGGGAACUGCGUUUGUGACUGCAUGGCUUGAGUGCGGCAGAGGGGGGUGGAAUUCCACGUGUAGCAGUGAAAUGCGUAGAUAUGUGGAGGAACACCGAUGGCGAAGGCAGCCCCCUGGGCCGACACUGACGCUCAUGCACGAAAGCGUGGGGAGCAAACAGG